RNAcentral lists this ribosomal RNA (442 nucleotides) under uncultured Anaerolineaceae bacterium. RNAcentral describes it as "bacterial SSU rRNA". It matches the Rfam family "Bacterial small subunit ribosomal RNA", at positions 337 to 795 of the family's 1533-position model. The record is from RNAcentral. Lineage: Bacteria; Bacillati; Chloroflexota; Anaerolineae; Anaerolineales; Anaerolineaceae.
GCCUACGGGGGGCAGCAGUAGGGAAUAUUGGUUAAUGGGCGAAAGCCUGACCCAGCAACGCCGCGUGAACGAUGAAGGCCUUCGGGUUGUAAAGUUCUUUUGACCGGGAUGAGGAAGGACAGUACCGGUCGAAUAAGUCUCGGCUAACUACGUGCCAGCAGCCGCGGUAACACGUAGGAGACGAGCGUUAUCCGGAUUUACUGGGUGUAAAGCGCGUGCAGGCGGUAUGGUAAGUUGGAUGUGAAAGCUCCUGGCUUAACUGGGAGAGGUCGUUCAAAACUACCAGACUAGAGGACAGCAGAGGGGAGUGGAAUUCCGAGUGUAGCGGUAAAAUGCAUAGAUAUUCGGAAGAACACCAGUGGCGAAGGCGGCUCUCUGGGCUGUACCUGACGCUCAGACGCGAAAGCUAGGGUAGCAAACGGGAUUAGAUACCCUUGUAGUC